AGUUCGAUCAUGGCUCAGAUUGAACGCUGGCGGGAUGCUUUACACAUGCAAGUCCGAACGGCAGCACGGACUUCGGUCUGGUGGCGAGUGGCGAACGGGUGAGUAAUGUCUUAUCGGAACGUGCCUAGUAGCGGGGGAUAACUACGCGAAGCGUAGCUAAUACCGCAUACGCCCUUCGGGGGAAAGCGGGGGACCUUCGGGCCUCGCACUAUUAGAGCGGCCGAUAUCGGAUUAGCUAGUUGGUGGGGUAACGGCUCACCGAGGCGACGAUCCGUAGCUGGUUUGAGAGGACGACCAGCCACACUGGGACUGAGACGGCCCGGGCUCUACAGGAGGCAGCAGUGGGGAAUUUUGGACAAUGGAAACCUGAUCAGCCAUCCCGCGUGUGCGAUGAAGGCCUUCGGGUUGUAAAGCACUUUUUGGCAGGAAAAAGAAACGGCACGGGAUAAUACCCCGUGCAACUGACAGUACCUGCAGAAUAAGCACCGGCUAACUACGUGCCAGCAGCCGCCG
RNAcentral lists this unclassified non-coding RNA (513 nucleotides) under uncultured Bordetella sp. RNAcentral describes it as "partial 16S-23S ribosomal RNA intergenic spacer". It matches the Rfam family "Bacterial small subunit ribosomal RNA", at positions 10 to 520 of the family's 1533-position model. Lineage: Bacteria; Pseudomonadati; Pseudomonadota; Betaproteobacteria; Burkholderiales; Alcaligenaceae. The record is from RNAcentral.